Molecule: ribosomal RNA, 482 nt
Filed under: uncultured bacterium
Lineage: Bacteria
Description: partial 16S ribosomal RNA
Rfam family: Bacterial small subunit ribosomal RNA
Source: RNAcentral
GACGAACGCUGGCGGCGUGCUUAACACAUGCAAGUCGAACGAUGAAGAAGAGACACGCGCACUUCGGUUCAAAUUUCACUUCGGAUUAGUGGCAGACGGGUGAGUAACGCGUGAGCAACCUACCUCUUACAAAGGGAUAGCCUCGGGAAACCGUGAUUAAUACCAUAUGACACAUUCAUAAGGCAUCUUAAGAAUGUUAAAGCUACGGCGGUAAGAGAUGGGCUCGCGUCCCAUUAGCUAGUUGGUGAGGUAACGGCCCACCAAGGCGACGAUGGGUAACCGGCCUGAGAGGGUGAACGGUCACAUUGGAACUGAGACACGGUCCAAACUCCUACGGGAGGCAGCAGUGGGGAAUAUUGCACAAUGGAGGGAACUCUGAUGCAGCGACGCCGCGUGAGCGAUGAAGGAAUUCGUUUCGUAAAGCUCUGUUCUAUGGGAAGAAAAGGACUGUACCAUAGGAGAAAGCCCCGGCUAAAUACGUG